Molecule: long non-coding RNA, 6289 nt
Organism: Cuculus canorus (common cuckoo)
Lineage: Eukaryota; Metazoa; Chordata; Aves; Cuculiformes; Cuculidae
Exons: 4
Source: RefSeq, a predicted model, not a curated record
CCACUGCCUGUCACAGCCCUGCCAGAGCACCCUGCCCAAACCACGGCAGCGGUGAGGAGAGGGCUGUCCGCAGCAGCCCACAAAAUGCUCCACAAGGAGAGUGAACCCAUUUCUCACAGCUGUAUCCAUGACAUCAAGAGGUUGUUUCCCCAGGCUCAGAAAUACUGUGGAAGAAGAGAUGACAACCUUCUAAAAAAAACCCAGAAGGGAAAGAGAGGAAAAGAGGCACAGAGCCUGUCACUUUGUGCUGCAAAAUCUCCAUCAGGCAGCAGACAGACACCGAGACCACAGAGUCCCAGGAUGCACAACUAGGAUUGCUACACCUGGGAGAAGCAGACCUGCUGCCCUCCGGGAGCCAAAAUGCCCACAGGGAUGCUGCAGGAAACCUCAGAGGCUGAUAGAAAUUUACUGAUAAAUGCAGUCUCAAGGAACCAAGACAGACUACCUCAGAGGAGUAGAAACAUCUAAACCAACAGCCAUGGAACUUUUAAAACCUUCUGCAGCACUUUCAGGAUGUGAUAAGUACUUGACCACAAUCAAGACAAACAGUUAAACCUGAUAUCAAUAAAGGUGAUUGAUAUCUCUUUCAUAGUUGAAGUAAUGUGUUGAUAAUAGAAAGUGGUUAAGCACCAGUAUUUUGGCAUAACUUAGCAAAAUACUUUCCAUCUUGCCUAAUAUUGCUCUGGGAAUUGAAGAGUGCUCACAAGCACGGUGGAUGGGAAGACCUCAUUUUCUUCUCAGAAGGAGGCUUUGUCAGAGCUCAAAUGUGCAAUCCAACACAAUGUACAUUUUGGGAUCAAGAAACAUUGUAAAUGAAAAACUAAUUUACACUUUCCAUGGCAAAUAGAAAGCUAAACUUUUUGGUCUCUGGUGUUUUAAUUCUACCUGUUAACUCUGAUGACUUAGCAAUAGUCUCACCAGUACUUAAUACUUUGGUAUACAUUGGUAUAGUUAAAAUCACAUAAAUCAAUCGUGAAAAUGGCUCCUACCCUUCAUCUGUGCCUAAAAAUUACUGUGUAAGAAUUGUCUUUAAUUUUAAUUACAUGGACAUGAUCUAGUGACGUUAAUAUUGUGCUGGUAGCCUACUAAUCUUUUAGUUAAUGCAAAUUGCCCAGAGGCCUAGUUAUGCUCCCAGGAAAAGUCCCAUCAACUUUUGUUUUGUAAAUCUGGAAAUGCUAAUUCAUGUAUUCCCCCCCCUCGACUUACUCAAUGUUUCCUGAGUGUUUUUAUGUGCUCACGGGUGUAAGUAGGCUGCAAGAUCCAGCUCUAGGUAAUUGUAUUAUCCCAGCUUUAAAAUGGCAAGUUAAUAUUACUCAGGAGGCAAUUGCACACAGAUAAAAUCCUGCAGGAUUUUUACUGGAUCUCUGUUAGCAAUCCAAAUAAAGAUAAAGGAUCUAGUCUUAAGUCAUACAGCUGUGUGAACAAUUGAAAUCAAUUGGAGGUGUUGUCAAGCUCACUUGGAUCCCUAGUCACACAGAUAUUUUUGGAAACGAUUACAUAGCUAAAGUAGCAAAGAAAGCAUUAAGAAGGAUUAUGCUGAUAUUCUAGUUUCACUGUCUAGGGAUGUAAUUACGUCUCUUAUCUACUCAAGAGCGAUAACGCCUUCUGGGUUUUUUUUUUUUUGUUUGUAUAAUACAUUUAGGUAUAACCCAGAGAUUUCACAGAAGAAUAUUCCAUGGAAGGCUUUAUGACUAAUUCUUUAGAAAAAAUAACUAGAUAUUUAUUUUAGGAAGUUGGCCAGUUGUUCACUUGGUUUUAAAAUGUAGAUGAUUUCCUGUUUGCUUACGCUAUUCCACUAUACCUCCUGAAACUGUUUGCUUGAAGGCUGCUGUUCACUCUCCCAUUUGCCCCGUCCCAUAGCCUGCUGUACUUGUUGCUGCUGUUAAGCCCUUUGUUUACUGCUGACUUUGGUAGUGUUGCUUGUGUUGAUAGUAAGCAGGUUUGCCAGCAAUUUUGCAAGGACUGCAAAGAUUUGAAAAUAUCCCAUGUCAGAAGAUAAAUCCCGCAUCAAAUAACGACUACUUCAAGUUUCAGUAAUCUAUUUAAAAUGCCACUGUGAUGACUUAAGAGAUGCUUAUAACCUACCACUUAAUUGACCUAAUAUGAAAGUAUUUGAUUUCUGUUUAUGGCACUGUUACAGCUGGAUAUUACUUGAGCUGUCAUUAUUGAUUAUCAGUGCUGAUGUUACUAAUUAGGGCUAUUUGCCGAGAACACUCGGCUCCUCCAAAGAGUGGUUUGUGGCCACCGAGGCUGCCUGGGAGCGAGGAGCAGGUGAGUGGCCCCGCUGCCGGCUCUGCUGGUGCUGUGGCAGGGCACGGGGGCGUAGGGUGGUGGCUGGGCGUGCGCAUGGCAUGGCAGCACUGGGGCUGCUCUGGAGGCACAGAGUGCCUUUGAUUUCACUCAAGGUCUGCAUGCAGAGUGGCACGUCUACAACUGUCAGCUUUUCUCCAUACAGGAGCGCCGCGCAGGGGAGGGACAACCUUGAGGAUGAAGGCAGCACUAAGAUGCUAUCGCAACAAGGUGUUCAGCAAUACAUGUAAGACUUAUAUAAUUGGAGAAGGUCUCUUGUGUCUCUGAGUCCCACUGUGUGCUGUUGUGAUCAUCAGUGCUUCACCAAAUCCCUUUGCAAACUUUUCAGUCUCCAUCUCCCCCUGACUUGGAUAUCUGCCUGGAAUUCUUCAUUUAAGGAAGCUGCUAUAGUACCGAAUUUUCUGUCUGGUAAAUUUGGCUCUAAUUUCUGGGUUAAAUAGGCCAGAAUAAAAGUAGCAAUUCCUGUGUGUGACAAGAAGCAUCUAAAGAGAAGAGAAUGAUGAAGGACAUGUGUGUACCUGUUUUCUUUUGAGAGAAAAAAAGCUGAUACCUCUGUUGUGAUUGAUAGCAAUACAUAACACAUAAAUAUCUGUGGUUCCAAAAGCCAUUGCUAGCAAUGACAACCUUGCCUAGACUGAUGAAUGUUCAAUUUCUGUAGAUAUAAUAUAAUAUAAUAAUAUAUUAGAAACACCCUUUAAAAUAAUAAUGACUGGCUCCAUUUGAAUGAUCUGAAAGCCUUAAAGAGGGAACAAAUGUGUACUGAAAACACUACAAUGUUUCUGUGCUUGGCAGUUAUAAAUAUUUUUUUAAAAAUUCAGCUAGUUGCUUAGCUGACAAUUCAAUUAUUCAGCCUUGUGCUGGAGAAUGUCAUAAAAAAUUGUCUCUAUAGUGACACUGUAGUAAAUCUGAAAUAAAAUAUGUCUUUGGAAUGAACAAAGAAUCUACUUGUUAAUUUUAUUUAUGUGAUAUCAAAGCAAAAACCAUCCAAUUCACCUGCUCGUGUGAUAUCUCUCACUCAGCAGUCUAGAGCACAAAUAAAGUAAGAAUUCUAUCCUUCCAUGUUAAAAACUGUCUCUUUUCUGACUGUACAGUAGUUCUUUGUGUGAGGUUUGUACUGGAUAGACGUUGGAAAAUUAGCCCGUAAAGAAUCAGGAGCCCUCAGGAGGACCUGGACAAAGCUGCUGAAGACAGAGGUUCCUGUGGCGCUGUGAGGCCCUGAACCUCCUGCCACACCAGGAGCCACGUGGUUGUUGGCACUGUGGAUGUGGUCAGUUAAAAGUCAAUCCUGCCUAGGUUUCCCUCUACAGACAAAUUCCCAUGUCUUCUCCGUGAAUAGGGCAGUGAGAUGCUGACAGAGAUUUGUGUUUUAUUUUUUUCCUACAGUGACCAGCUUCAAGAGGAGAACCGAGCAUUAUCACCUGUGCAACCUGGGGAACAUCCCAGUGGUGAGGACACAUUUCUGCAAAAAGUAUCAAACCCCAGGAGGUUUGCAGGAGGUGAUACAGUAGUUGAACAUCCCAGGCUGCUUCGGUGAUGAGAAGACGGCAGUGGCCUGUGAACCACAGUUUGCGUAAUUCCAUUAUUUCCUUACCCAAUAAAGGAAGUACUAAAGCACAAGUCAAACCUGAGAAAGUUGAGACAUGCUAGAUUGAAGAAUUUGUUUGCCAAAUAAAUUCAGAGCGUUUGGAUUUAUGCAACAUGUUACUGCCUUGAACUGCAUGUUCCUUUCACCCACAGGAGUAUUUGUUCGUUCCAUGUACAGAUAACUAUCAUAUUUGUUUUUCUUUUGCUUGUUUCCAGUACUGUUAGGUUUUUAAUGGCUAACCAACUAAACUAACUAAAAUGAAAAAAACCCAAACCCACCAACCUGAAGACACAGACGUUUUGUCAGAUGAUACUGUAUGGACUUAUUCCUAAUGUUUGCCAAUGUAAAUGCAUCCUCGUUUGUCCCCUAGCCAUUGUAAAAGCCAUUAAUAUUCAGAGUGCCUUGGUGAUAGUAGACCUUCACAAGGCAGAGUCACGCAAUGCAGCUCCCAGUCACUCGCUCAUGUGACAGAUUUUAGAUGACUGGCCCUCAGGACAGGCCCAUAUGGUGCAGUAUGACAGACUUGCUGCUUUUCCAGCCUGGCUGGGAAAAACAGUACAGAAGAGGAAUGAAGAAAUUCAGAAGAGUUCAGGCUUUCAGAGGAGUGCCCUGUGCUAUACGUACUCCUCCCAUCACUCUGCAGACUCCUUCCCUGGCCCCCAUCACCACUUUGCCUCCCACCUGUACCUUGACAUCCCACCUGGCUUCUGGUCUCCUAGCUCCAGACCUUCUCUGUUAUGUUUACCCUACUUCAAAAUCCAGCUACCUCUUCUGCUAAUAAAUUGCACCCUAACUAUUUUCCCUGUUCUUCCUUAUUUCCAUACAGAUUUUUUUGUGCCUUGUGGUCUUGAUUUCCUCUCCUCUGAAGUGCAUGGAAAGUGUCUCAGGGACCACAGAGAACUCAACACCCUGAGUCCUUGGUGCUUCCUUCCUCAGCUGAAUCCCUCCUGAGAUUGUCUCCACUCUUUGCCCAGGGCCUUCAUAAUUUUGUGGCAAAUAAGAUUUAUGAUGAAGCCUUGUAGUUUUGGUUAAGAAUUGAGUUCUCACAGGAGCACUGUCAUUUCUAACACCUCAUUGCCACCCUUCAUUCUUAUUUUCAAACACAUCAGUCAGAGCUUAGGGGCAUUAAAAUGUUACAACAAAACCAAUGAGAAUAAUUUAUGGCCCAAGCAUUAUAUUUUUUCCUUAUGCUUAUGGCACUGAUCUAAAUAGUCUUGUGGAGAGGUCUGUGAAACGGAAGGUUUUAUUGCCUUAUUGUGCCUGUGUGAGCCUUCCCAGUGGUAGCUGAUGGUGUGAGAGCUCUUUGUUUACUGUAACCUGUUGGAGUGGUGACUUCUCAGACCACCUGAAGCCAAUUGCACUCACCCCACCAACAACGCCCUUGCUAGGGGAACAGCAGAAAAAAAAUGUAUUGAAACUUGAAGUCAAGACAGGAACCUGGGAGAGAAAUUAAAAUUAUAAGGAACUGAAACCAGAACCUGAUAAAAGAAAGUGUCGAUAACCUUAAACUGCAGGCAUUGCUACUAGUUUAACUUAAACUAUCUGACUUUAUGUUUUACAACCAUAAAUCCCCCUGCAGCUUCACAGGAUACAUUCUUCAGUGUUUGGUGCUUAUAGCUACUGUGUAGUGCUGCUGUGAGCUGUGAAAAGCUGCUCCACUGAGCUACAAUGGCUGGGGAGACUUCUAUAGUGCUCUGUAUGGAGGUGUGUGUGGGUGUGAAUAAAGUGUUUGUUGCAAUUUGAAAGCACUUUAGGUCCCUAAGCCUGGACAGAGCAAAAGGUAUGAUUAUAAGACUUUGUCAGAAUCUAUUGCAUGUCUCUGUUACCUUACUAACAGUUAUUUUAAAAAAUUGCAUAUACAGCAAUAUGAAUUUAAAAAAAAGUACUAAUGUGUUUCCUUUAUUUUUUAUUACGCCAAAAUCUCCAAAGCUCUAAACCCAUGAAGAGUAAUAACAAAACUCUCCAAUAAAGGAUGUAAAAAUUCAUUGUAAUAACACCUAAGAAAUGGUGAAUCAUUCAUACUGCCUAACUAAUACAUCCUGUUCUGCUUCUGCUGGAAACGUAAAAAAUUACAGAAGCAGCCAAAGUAAUAACAAUACAGUGUUUCUUACUAUGAAUAACAUAGAUUGAAGUAGUGAUUUUCUUGUUCAGGAAUUCAAACUUGAACAUGUUGUCAAUAGUAAUACAGUGGUCUGUGUGGUAUUCUAAGAAAAUUCAGCACUAAUAUUAAGGAGGGAAGAAAAGUGCAUAGAGGAAGAAUGUAAGUCUGUCUUUCCCUUCCCCCUCAUUUGCAAAGGAAUGUAAUGGGAUCCUCUUUACAUGCUUGAAAAUGUGAAUGUUGAUUUAUCUUUCUAGAGUAAUUGCAAACUGUUAUUUAAUCAGCAUUGCUGUAUA